AUGGCUCAGAACGAACGCUGGUGGCGUGUCUUAUACAUGCAAGUCGAGCGAGGCAGCAAUGCCGAGCGGCGAACGGGUGAGUAACGCGUAAGCAAUCUGCCCCAUAUCAGGAAAUACCCGUGCCAACGCGCGGUUAAUGUCCAGGAGAGUGGCCCUCUGCAUGGAGGGUUGACUAGAGAUUUAUCGGUAUGGGAUGAGCUUGCGUCCGAUUAGCUAGUUGGCGGGGCAACGGCCACCAAGGCGACGAUCGGUAGCCGGCCUGAGAGGGUGAUCGGCCACAUUGGGACUGAGAUACGGCCCAGACUCCUACGGGAGGCAGCAGUAGGGAAUAUUGCACAAUGGGGGAAACCCUGAUGCAGCAACGCCACGUGUGGGAAGAAGCAUUUCGGUGUGUAAACCACUGUCAUGAGGGAAUAAGGCCCGCCUUCGGACGGGAUUGAAUGUACCUUGAGAGGAAGCACCGGCAAACUUCGUGCCAGCCGCCGC
Molecule: ribosomal RNA, 486 nt
Filed under: uncultured bacterium
Lineage: Bacteria
Description: bacterial SSU rRNA
Rfam family: Bacterial small subunit ribosomal RNA
Source: RNAcentral